This 30-nucleotide non-coding RNA is filed under the name Mus musculus (house mouse). The record is from RNAcentral. Lineage: Eukaryota; Metazoa; Chordata; Mammalia; Rodentia; Muridae.
UGAUGACUAAGGAUAUGGAUAGGUUUCAAU